UAGGGAAUCUUCCGCAAUGGAACGAAAGUCUGACGGAGCAACGCCGCGUGAGUGAUGAAGGUUUUCGGAUCGUAAAGCUUCUGUUCCCAGGGACAGAAUGCAAAGGGAGAGUAACUGCUCUCAAGUUUUUUUUUCCCCCGCGAUAAAUCUGCCAGCUUCUCUUUC
RNAcentral lists this ribosomal RNA (165 nucleotides) under uncultured bacterium. Its description in RNAcentral is "partial 16S ribosomal RNA". The record is from RNAcentral.